UGGCUACAAUCUCUGUCUCGUGUCUCUAACGUUUCCCUUCUACACCAAGGUGGAGCAGGAGGAAGUGGAUGGGUCAAACAAGGCUGGAACCAGGUACUUCCUCCCGUUGGCCCCGUUCGCGUUGUAGCUCGCCCCGGUGGUCGAGUCCACCAACAAAUCCCCGGGAUAUCCCGGAUACGCCCCCUUGGCAUAAACCCCCGGGCACGCCGUCGCAACCUCUAACGGCGCCUCCUUCGGCCCCUGGUAGAAUCCGUUGUUGAACGGGUUGGUCACCGUCCCGGCCAUCAUGCUCGCCAAGUUGAUCACCAUGCCGUCAAUCCCGACGUCGCCGUUAGGCGCCACCAACGCCGGGGACUGAGGCCCGUAAACCGGCUGGUGG
RNAcentral lists this long non-coding RNA (379 nucleotides) under Elaeis guineensis (African oil palm). RNAcentral's name for it is "long non-coding RNA (EGUI_LNC026665)". Lineage: Eukaryota; Viridiplantae; Streptophyta; Magnoliopsida; Arecales; Arecaceae. The record is from RNAcentral.